CCUACGGGUGGCAGCAGUGAGGAAUAUUGGUCAAUGGCCGCAAGCCUGAACCAGCCAAGCCGCGUGAAGGACGAAGGUGCCAAGCAUUGUAAACUUCUUUUGUCAAGGGACAAAAUCAGGCUCGAGAGCCUGACCGAGGGUACUUGAAGAAAAAGCAUCGGCUAACUCCGUGCCAGCAGCCGCGGUAAUACGGAGGAUGCGAGCGUUAUCCGGAUUUAUUGGGUUUAAAGGGUGCGUAGGCGGUCGAGUAAGUCAGCGGUAAAAGCCCGGGGCUCAACCCCGGCGAGCCGUUGAAACUGGUUGUCUUGAGAGGGCGAGAGGUAUGCGGAAUGCGUAGUGUAGCGGUGAAAUGCUUAGAUAUUGCGCAGAACUCCGAUUGCGAAGGCAGCAUACCGGCGGUGAUCUGACGCUGAGGCACGAAAGCGUGGGUAUCGAACAGGAUUAGAUACCCGAGUAGUC
This 459-nucleotide ribosomal RNA is filed under the name uncultured bacterium. Its description in RNAcentral is "partial 16S ribosomal RNA". It matches the Rfam family "Bacterial small subunit ribosomal RNA", at positions 338 to 795 of the family's 1533-position model. The record is from RNAcentral.